RNAcentral lists this ribosomal RNA (497 nucleotides) under uncultured bacterium. RNAcentral describes it as "partial 16S ribosomal RNA". It matches the Rfam family "Bacterial small subunit ribosomal RNA", at positions 28 to 507 of the family's 1533-position model. The record is from RNAcentral.
GAUGAACGCUGGCGGCGUGCCUAAUACAUGCAAGUCGAGCGAACAGACGGGGAGCUUGCUCCUCUGACGUUAGCGGCGGACGGGUGAGUAACACGUGGAUAACCUACCUAUAAGACUGGGAUAACUUCGGGAAACCGGAGCUAAUACCGGAUAAUAUAUUGAACCGCAUGGUUCAAUAGUGAAAGACGGUUUUGCUGUCACUUAUAGAUGGAUCCGCGCCGCAUUAGCUAGUUGGUAAGGUAACGGCUUACCAAGGCAUCGAUGCGUAGCCGACCUGAGAGGGUGAUCGGCCACACUGGAACUGAGACACGGUCCAGACUCCUACGGGAGGCAGCAGUAGGGAAUCUUCCGCAAUGGGCGAAAGCCUGACGGAGCAACGCCGCGUGAGUGAUGAAGGUCUUCGGAUCGUAAAACUCUGUUAUUAGGGAAGAACAAAUGUGUAAGUAACUAUGCACGUCUUGACGGUACCUAAUCAGAAAGCCACGGCUAACUACGUG